RNAcentral lists this ribosomal RNA (507 nucleotides) under uncultured bacterium. Its description in RNAcentral is "partial 16S ribosomal RNA". It matches the Rfam family "Bacterial small subunit ribosomal RNA", at positions 29 to 507 of the family's 1533-position model. The record is from RNAcentral.
ACGAACGCUGGCGGCGUGCCUAAUCCCUGCAAGUCGCACGCUUCUUUCCUCCCGAGUGCUUGCACUCAAUUGGAAAGAGGAGUGGCGGACGGGUGAGUAACACGUGGGUAACCUACCCAUCAGAGGGGGAUAACACUUGGAAACAGGUGCUAAUACCGCAUAACAGUUUAUGCCGCAUGGCAUAAUAGUGAAAGGCGCUUUCGGGUGUCGCUGAUGGAUGGACCCGCGGUGCAUUAGCUAGUUGGUGAGGUAACGGCUCACCAAGGCCACGAUGCAUAGCCGACCUGAGAGGGUGAUCGGCCACACUGGGACUGAGACACGGCCCAGACUCCUACGGGAGGCAGCAGUAGGGAAUCUUCGGCAAUGGACGAAAGUCUGACCGAGCAACGCCGCGUGAGUGAAGAAGGUUUUCGGAUCGUAAAACUCUGUUGUUAGAGAAGAACAAGGACGUUAGUAACUGAACGUCCCCUGACGGUAUCUAACCAGAAAGCCACGGCUAACUACGUG